UAGUGCUACUAGGGGUGCCAACCACAUUAGGCUGAGAAAUACCCUUAGAACCUGAUCUAGGUAAUGCUAGCGAAGGGAAGUGGCUUCAUACUUUU
Molecule: non-coding RNA, 95 nt
Filed under: Cetobacterium ceti
Lineage: Bacteria; Fusobacteriati; Fusobacteriota; Fusobacteriia; Fusobacteriales; Fusobacteriaceae
Description: TPP sequence
Rfam family: TPP riboswitch aptamer (THI element)
About the family: Vitamin B(1) in its active form thiamin pyrophosphate (TPP) is an essential coenzyme that is synthesised by coupling of pyrimidine and thiazole moieties in bacteria.
Source: Rfam by way of RNAcentral